AUUGAACGCUGGCGGCAGGCCUAACACAUGCAAGUCGAACGGUAACAGGAAGCAGCUUGCUGCUUUGCUGACGAGUGGCGGACGGGUGAGUAAUGUCUGGGAAACUGCCCGAUGGAGGGGGAUAACUACUGGAAACGGUAGCUAAUACCGCAUAACGUCGCAAGACCAAAGAGGGGGACCUUAGGGCCUCUUGCCAUCGGAUGUGCCCAGAUGGGAUUAGCUAGUAGGUGGGGUAACGGCUCACCUAGGCGACGAUCCCUAGCUGGUCUGAGGGGAUGACCAGCCACACUGGAACUGAGACACGGUCCAGACUCCUACGGGAGGCAGCAGUGGGGAAUAUUGCACAAUGGGCGCAAGCCUGAUGCAGCCAUGCCGCGUGUAUGAAGAAGGCCUUCGGGUUGUAAAGUACUUUCAGCGGGGAGGAAGGGAGUAAAGUUAAUACCUUUGCUCAUUGACGUUACCCGCAGAAGAAGCACCGGCUAACUCCGUG
This 490-nucleotide ribosomal RNA is filed under the name uncultured bacterium. Its description in RNAcentral is "partial 16S ribosomal RNA". It matches the Rfam family "Bacterial small subunit ribosomal RNA", at positions 30 to 507 of the family's 1533-position model. The record is from RNAcentral.